UACGUAGGGACCAAGCGUUGUUCGGAUUUACUGGGCGUAAAGGGCGCGUAGGCGGCGUGGUAAGUCACUUGUGAAAUCUCUGAGCUUAACUCAGAACGGCCAAGUGAUACUGCUGUGCUAGAGUGCAGAAGGGGCAAUCGGAAUUCUUGGUGUAGCGGUGAAAUGCGUAGAUAUCUGGAGGAACACCGGUGGCGAAGGCGGCAUCCUGGACCGACACUGACGCUGAGGAGCGAAAGCCAGGGGAGCAAACGGG
This 253-nucleotide ribosomal RNA is filed under the name uncultured bacterium. RNAcentral's name for it is "partial 16S ribosomal RNA". It matches the Rfam family "Bacterial small subunit ribosomal RNA", at positions 524 to 776 of the family's 1533-position model. The record is from RNAcentral.